AAAAAAAUUAGCUCUUACUGAUUUUUCAACUUCUUCUUUGCAGCUAGCGCUCAGCCACAAUACUGAAUAUACUUGGACGAAAUCUUGGAUAUAGGUGGACGACACACACAGAAGCGCUCCCGCGGUCUUCACAGACGGAGAGGGAAGCAAAACGCUCACCAGAGCUUCAAUUCACGCGACACGCCACAGUUUCCUGCCGCAAGUUGCAGUAGAGCUACUGGCAAACCGAAUAAAAUGAUGGUAGCUAACCAAUUGUUGGUUCCACGGCUGCUGCAACCAAGGGCAAAGCACACAGGAUCUAGAAUCAACUUUCGCGGGCAAUUUACUGGCAGUUUGGCAACGAAUGAGUCGUGUUGGAUGGCGAAUUCACCAAUCUCAAAUAUGUAACGUCACACACGCAAAAAAGAAACAAGCACUGGCCGUCCGUCCUCAGAAAACCAGUGCAGCUAUGAAAGUUGGCAAAAAUACAACAAAUUACUUUUACACACACUCAAUAAACACUACACCUGUUACUUACAAAGGCAUGAGUUAACACAAACUAAUUAUUUUAAAUAAAAUCGGCAACAAAAAAAAACACUGA
Molecule: long non-coding RNA, 580 nt
Organism: Stomoxys calcitrans (stable fly)
Lineage: Eukaryota; Metazoa; Arthropoda; Insecta; Diptera; Muscidae
Exons: 2
Source: RefSeq, a predicted model, not a curated record